Molecule: small RNA, 2794 nt
Filed under: Pongo abelii (Sumatran orangutan)
Lineage: Eukaryota; Metazoa; Chordata; Mammalia; Primates; Hominidae
Description: retained intron
Source: RNAcentral
AAUUUUGGAGCAUCUUGGAUUAGGGAUAUUCAUCCUAUGGUGGUGGUGGUAGUAGUAGUAGUAGUAUUGCUGUUUGGAAAUGGGAGGUGGUGGUUUUGCAGAUUGCCCUUCAGCCUUUCGUAAGGAGGAGUUUCCUUUUUUUUUGAGACGGAGUUUCACUCUUGUUGCCCAGGCUGGAGUGCAAUGGUGCGAUCUCGGCUUACUGCAACCUCUGCCUCCCAGGUUCAAGCAAUUUUCCUGCCUCAGCCUCCUCAGCCCGGCGGGAGGAGUUUGUUAAACUUUCUGAACCCCCCAGUGAAGGAAUUAGUAGCCUCUAAAGAAAUAUGCAACAGGGUAAACCAUAGUCAGUGUUAGACCCAGUCAUUGAGAAACCAGAAAUUACUAGGAGAAAAGAUAACACUCUCCUCUGCAGAGAGAAGGCAAACAUUUGUUGAAUUUACAUUACAUUUCAAGCCCUGUGCUAAACUCCCUAAGCUGCUUGAUUUGCAUUACAGGGUGGGAGGUGUGGUUCAGGUCAGUUGCUUGGGCUGGUGCUAACUCUCAAAGGAGAGGUACAGGUUUAAACCUUUAGAUGUCCCUGUAGUCCCCAGGAAAAGAGAUUAAGGACAAACUCUUGGUUUGUUUUGUUUGUUUUGUUCUUUGAGACGGAGUUUUGCUCUUGUUGCCCAAGCCGGAGUGCAAUGGCACAAUCAAGGCUUACCAUAACCUCUGCCUCCCAGGUUCAAGCGACUCUUCUGCCUCAGCCUCCCAAGUAGCUGGGAUUACAGGCAUGCGCCACCACACCCAGCUAAUUUUUGUAUUUUUAGUAGAGAUGGGAUUUCUCCAUGUUGGUCAGGCUGUUCUCAAACUCCCAACCUCAGAUGGUCUGCCCACCUCAGCCUCCCAAAGUGCUGAGAUUACAGGUGUGAGCCACCGCGCCUGGCCAAACUGGUUUUUAAAGAUUGUGCUUAGUUUAGUAAGUACAGGAAGCAAAGGCAUCUGGACAAUUGGACAGUCCUCAACCAAUCCAGAGAAAUUUGUUCUUGCAAGGUAUGUGAGUAGGUUUUAAACUCAGAACAUCAGUUUCCUGUAGAACCAGUGCAUAGAGGCAUAUUUCUGUCAGAACUGCACUCUGACUCCAGAAUGUGUGGAUGCGUGUGCUAUUGAGGGAACAAGACCACCCUGUAACAUCAGGCCUGUGGGAGCAUGUGGAGUCUGUGCAGUGUUGGAAACAAAUGCCCUGUAGUGCCUGUGAGAGGCAGCCACUGCCGUGUGAUCAUUGUGCCUCCUGCUAGAGUACUGAGGGCUGGAGAUCCUCUGGUAUCAGUAGGUUAUUGAGUGGGGUACAUGGGGGAUGGGUGCUAACUCAGGUUUCCUCAGAAGGAAGGUCGUAACGCCACAUGUGUAAGUUCUCAUUGAAUUCAGAAGUAGGGAACUAGCUGCGGUGAGAUUGGACAGAGCAGACAAUUUCAAACAGAAUUGAUGCUACCAGAUAAUUCCUGGGAUUUGAUGGCAGUCCUUAAUUGUUAUCAAAUCUGGAAUUCUGGUUUCAUGCUUCUGUGGAAUUUAAAAAGAUUUCAUGUGAAAAUGUAAGUCAUUGCUUUUAGAUCAGAUAUGUGUCUCUCCUAAACCCCUUCCUUCCAGGAGAGUCUUUCUUUAAAGAGAUGGGGUCUCACUAUGUUGCCCAAGCUGGUCUUGAACUCCUGGGCUCAAGCCAUCCUCCUACCUCAGCCUCCCGAAGUGCUGGAAUUACAGGUCUGACCCACCACGCCCAGCUCUUAUUUUAAAAGAGCCUUAAAAUAAGAUGGUUUUAUUAAGAUUCUUAAUAAAAACAUAGUUUCAUUUGCUUAAAAGGCACCCAGAGUCUUGCUUUGGAGGAAGUUAAUCCUGAGAGAAUGAGCCUACAGAACAGUAAUACUCUCUUUUAAAUCACAGGUAAAAGAAGAUACAACAUUAAACUAUGGAAAACUUUCACAGACUGUUUUAACUGUUUACCGAUAGCAGCCAUCGUGGAUGAGAAGAUAUUCUGCUGUCAUGGAGGUUUAUCACCAGAUCUUCAAUCUAUGGAGCAGAUUCGGCGAAUUAUGCGACCAACUGAUGUACCAGAUCAAGGUCUUCUUUGUGAUCUUUUGUGGUCUGACCCCGAUAAAGAUGUCUUAGGCUGGGGUGAAAAUGACAGAGGAGUGUCCUUCACAUUUGGUGCAGAAGUGGUUGCAAAAUUUCUCCAUAAGCAUGAUUUGGAUCUUAUAUGUAGAGCCCAUCAGGUGGUUGAAGAUGGAUAUGAAUUUUUUGCAAAGAGGCAGUUGGUCACUCUGUUUUCUGCGCCCAAUUAUUGUGGAGAGUUUGACAAUGCAGGUGCCAUGAUGAGUGUGGAUGAAACACUAAUGUGUUCUUUUCAGAUUUUAAAGCCUGCAGAGAAAAAGAAGCCAAAUGCCACGAGACCUGUAACGCCUCCAAGGGGUAUGAUCACAAAGCAAGCAAAGAAAUAGAUGUCAUUUUGACACUGCCUAGUCGGGACUUGUAACAUAGAGUAUAUAACCUUCAUUUUUAAGACUGUAAUGUGUACUGGUCAGCUUGCUCAGAUAGAUCUGUGUUUGUGGGGGCCUUUCCUUCCAUUUUUGAUUUAGUGAAUGGCAUUUGCUGGUUAUAACAGCAAAUGAAAAACUCUUCACUCCAAAAAGAAAAGUGUUUUGUUUUUUAAUUCUGUUCCUUUUGCAAACAAUUUUAAUGAUGAUGUUAAAGCUGUACACCCCAGGACAGUUUAUCCUGUCUAAGGAGUAAGUGUACAAUUGAUCUUUUUUAAGUCAGUACAACC